UUAGGUUUAUGAGGAUCUCAUAAUAAUAAAGGUGAUGCUAAUGUAACACUGGAAAAAUGAUUGAGUUGGUUUCCUUUAUACCACACGAUCUCAUUUUCAUUUUCUUAUAAUUAUUUUGUUUUCUUUUUUUCUUUUUCAUUUUCUGCUUAUAAUUAGUAUUUUAGCAUAUUUUUUAAUCUGUAUAACUUAUGUUAAUUGUUUAAUUAUCAGAAUAUAGAAGAUGACAUUUUAUGUUCUUUAGGAUAUAAGUAUAUAUUUAAUUAAUUUUGAUGUUUAAUACAUAUCUUCCUAAACUAUUUAAUGUCAAGGUUAGUUAAUCAUUACAUGUUCGACUGAUUUAUAUAAUUGAGGAUGUACUUAAUAGAAGUAUGUAACUUACACUAUUUCAUAGAAAUCUCUUGUUCAUGAUCACUUUAUGAUUGUAUAAACAAAAUAAAAAGGGUAAAAAAAUAGGUACUCCUGAUAAAUUGUCAUUUUUUCCUUUUAUUUCUUUCUUUUAUGAGUCAUUUUCUUUUUUAUCUAUCAAAUGUACAAAUUAAGUGAUUUCUGAUAUAGGUUGAUCUUUUGAAGGUUACACAUCUCUAUUCAUUUGUGUUUCCUCUUAUUUUCAAUUUUAUUCUUGCGUCACCAAUGAUUAUGAUAGGGUUUUUUAUAUUGUUUUGAUGAGAUUGAGAUGUUUGUUAGGAUUAUGACGAUCUCACAAUAAUAAAUGUGAUGCUAAUGUAACACUGGAUAAAUGAUAAAGUUGGUUUGCUUUAUGGCAUACGGUCUCAUUUUCAUUUUCU
This 785-nucleotide long non-coding RNA is filed under the name Lathyrus oleraceus (garden pea). RNAcentral's name for it is "Pisum sativum (pea) long non-coding RNA (PSAT_LNC040062)". Lineage: Eukaryota; Viridiplantae; Streptophyta; Magnoliopsida; Fabales; Fabaceae. The record is from RNAcentral.